Molecule: ribosomal RNA, 347 nt
Filed under: Pseudomonas sp. Jean01r
Lineage: Bacteria; Pseudomonadati; Pseudomonadota; Gammaproteobacteria; Pseudomonadales; Pseudomonadaceae
Description: bacterial SSU rRNA
Rfam family: Bacterial small subunit ribosomal RNA
Source: RNAcentral
UUAAGUUCCCGUAACGAGCGCAACCCUUUGUCCUUAGUUACCAGCRCGUAAUGGUGGGCACUCUAAGGAGACUGCCGGUGACAAACCGGAGGAAGGUGGGGAUGACGUCAAGUCAUCAUGGCCCUUACGGCCUGGGCUACACACGUGCUACAAUGGUCGGUUUGUUGGUUGCCAAGCCGCGAGGUGGAGCUAAUCCCACAAAACCGAUCGUAGUCCGGAUAGCAGUCUGCAACUCGACUGCGUGAAGUCGGAAUCGCUAGUAAUCGCGAAUCAGAAUGUCGCGGUAAUACGUUCCCGGGCCUUGUACACGCCGYCCGUCACACCAUAAGAGUGGGUUGCACCAGAAG